GGCGGCAUGCCUAACACAUGCAAGUCGAACGCGUGUAGAAAUACACGAGUGGCGGACGGGUGAGUAACGCGUGGGAACCUGCCCAAUGGUGGGGAAUAACUGCGGGAAACUGCAGCUAAUACCCUAUGCUCCCUACGGGGGAAAGAUUUAUCGCCAUUGGAGGGGCCCGCGUCGGAUUAGCUAGUUGGCGGGGUAAUGGCCACCAAGGCUACGAUCCGUAGCUGGUCUGAGAGGAUGAUCAGCCACACUGGGACUGAGAUACGGCCCAGACUCCUACGGGAGGCAGCAGUGGGGAAUAUUGGACAAUGGGGGAAACCCUGAUCCAGCAAUGCCGCGUGAGUGAAGAAGGCCUUAGGGUUGUAAAGCUCUUUCGGCGGGGACGAUGGUGACGGUACCCGCAGAAGAAGCCCCGGCUAACUUCGUGCCAGCAGCCGCGGUAAUACGAAGGGGGCUAGCGUUGUUCGGAAUCACUGGGCGUAAAGGGCGCGUAGGCGGCGCGACAAGUCAGGCGUGAAAGCCCCGGGCUCAACCCGGGAAUUGCGCCUGAUACUGUCGUGCUUGAGGCCGGGAGAGGAUGGCGGGAUUCCCAGUGUAGAGGUGAAAUUCGUAGAUAUUGGGAAGAACACCGGUGGCGAAGGCGGCCAUCUGGACCGGUUCUGACGCUGAGGCGCGAAAGCGUGGGGAGCAAACAGGAUUAGAUACCCUAGUAGUCCACGCCGUAAACGAUGAGUGCUAGACGUCGGGGGGUUCACCCUCCGGUGUCGCAGCUAACGCUUUAAGCACUCCGCCUGGGGAGUACGGUCGCAAGAUUAAAACUCAAAGGAAUUGACGGGGGCCCGCACAAGCGGUGGAGCAUGUGGUUUAAUUCGAAGCAACGCGAAGAACCUUACCAGCCCUUGACUUGGGGAGUGUGGGUCGCAGAGACGUGACCCUUCAGUUCGGCUGGCUCCCACACAGGUGCUGCAUGGCUGUCGUCAGCUCGUGUCGUGAGAUGUUGGGUUAAGACCCGCAACGAGCGCAACCCUCAUCUUCAGUUGCCAUCAUUAAGUUGGGCACUCUGAAGAAACUGCCGGUGACAAGCCGGAGGAAGGCGGGGAUGACGUCAAGUCCUCAUGGCCCUUACGGGCUGGGCUACACACGUGCUACAAUGGCGGUGACAGUGGGAUGCAAGGGGGCGACCCCGCGCCAAUCUCAAAAAGCCGUCUCAGUUCGGAUUGUACUCUGCAACUCGAGUGCAUGAAGUCGGAAUCGCUAGUAAUCGUGGAUCAGCACGCCACGGUGAAUACGUUCCCGGGCCUUGUACACACCGCCCGUCACACCAUGGGAGUUGGUUUUACCCGAAGCCGGUGCGCUAACCGCAAGGAGGCAGCCGACCACGGUAGGGUCAGCGACUGGGGUGAAGUCGUAACAAGGUA
Molecule: ribosomal RNA, 1415 nt
Filed under: metagenome
Description: bacterial SSU rRNA
Rfam family: Bacterial small subunit ribosomal RNA
Source: RNAcentral